RNAcentral lists this transfer RNA (66 nucleotides) under Amaurornis phoenicurus (white-breasted waterhen). Its description in RNAcentral is "tRNA-Cys". Lineage: Eukaryota; Metazoa; Chordata; Aves; Gruiformes; Rallidae. The record is from RNAcentral.
GGCUCUGUAGUGAAGUUCAUAUUGAGUUGCAAGCUCAUUGAUGCAUGCGAGAGCAUGCCGGGGUCU